UCCCAAGAGGACUAGUGGUGAGGCCUCAGCGCUCUCCCCGCCGCAGCCCAGGUUCGGUUCCUGGCCAGGGAA
Pangasianodon gigas (Mekong giant catfish) is the source of this 72-nucleotide non-coding RNA. NCBI's taxonomy places the organism in Eukaryota, Metazoa, Chordata, Actinopteri, Siluriformes, Pangasiidae. The record is from the annotation of a GenBank genome assembly.